RNAcentral lists this ribosomal RNA (868 nucleotides) under uncultured archaeon. RNAcentral describes it as "bacterial SSU rRNA". It matches the Rfam family "Archaeal small subunit ribosomal RNA", at positions 1 to 878 of the family's 1478-position model. The record is from RNAcentral.
CUUCCGGUGAUCCCGCCGGACCCGACUGCUAUCAGAGUGGGACUAAGCCAUGCGAGUCAACAUAGCAAUAUGUGGCAUACGGCUCAGUAACACGUAGUCAACAUGCCCAGGGGACGUGGAUAACCUCGGGAAACUGAGGAUAAACCGCGAUAGGUCAUCACUUCUGGAAUGGGUAAUGACUUAAAUCUAUAUGGCCCCUGGAUUGGACUGCGGCCGAUCAGGCUGUUGGUGAGGUAAUGGCCCACCAAACCUGUAACCGGUACGGGCUCUGAGAGGAGGAGCCCGGAGAUGGGCACUGAGACAAGGGCCCAGGCCCUAUGGGGCGCAGCAGGCGCGAAACCUCUGCAAUAGGCGAAAGCUUGACAGGGUUACUCUGAGUGAUUUCCGUUAAGGAGAUCUUUUGGCACCUCUAAAAAUGGUGCAGAAUAAGGGGUGGGCAAGUCUGGUGUCAGCCGCCGCGGUAAUACCAGCACCCCGAGUGGUCGGGACGUUUAUUGGGCCUAAAGCAUCCGUAGCCGGUUCUACAAGUCUUCCGUUAAAUCCACCUGCUUAACAGAUGGGCUGCGGAAGAUACUAUAGAGCUAGGAGGCGGGAGAGGCAAGCGGUACUCGAUGGGUAGGGGUAAAAUCCGUUGAUCCAUUGAAGACCACCAGUGGCGAAGGCGGCUUGCCAGAACGCGCUCGACGGUGAGGGAUGAAAGCUGGGGGAGCAAACCGGAUUAGAUACCCGGGUAGUCCCAGCUGUAAACGAUGCAGACUCGGUGAUGAGUUGGCUUAUUGCUAACUCAGUGCCGCAGGGAAGCCGUUAAGUUUGCCGCCUGGGGAGUACGGUCGCAAGACUGAAACUUAAAGGAAUUGGCGGGGGAGCA